CCACCUCUCACAGUACACCACCAGCAGGCUCCACAUCUCACAGUACACCACCAGCAGGCUCCACAUCUCACAGUACACCAGCAGCAGGUGAGAGGGGUGGCUCCACAUCUCACAGUACACCAGCAGCAGGUGAGAGGGGAGGCUCCACAUCUCACAGUACACCACCAGCAGGCUCCACAUCUCACAGUACACCACCAGCAGGUGAGAGGGGUGGCUCCACAUCUCACAGUACACCACCAGCAGGGGAGCUCUGUGUAGAAUUCAACUGAGAUUGGAGUUAAUGCUGCCCACACUCACUUUGACCCUUUCUGUAGAUAUUAUUCAAAUAGAAAUACUUCCACUGGUCUGUAGUGUCUGAAGUGAUAAUAGAUACUGUGUGUAAAUAUGUUGUGUUCAAGUAACCCUUUAUAUGUUUUAAAUGUUUUUAUGUCUUUACAUAAUCAAACACAACUUGGAUUUUAAAACUUUGUAGAGAGGGGUUGUGUUUGCAUAAGCACAAAUACUCUAGCACUGUGUUGAUCCUGGCAGAGUGUAUAUCUCAUUUUAAAGUGGCAUAUAAAUUACAAGCUUGGACAGCAUUACAAAAAUCCCCUCAUGUAUUUAUGUUGGCAGUGCAUGUGAUUAUACAGUAUCACUCUGUUAAAAAGAUUUUUUUAGGCUUGAUUAAUGAUACUGUAAUCGGCACCUACAAUUGUAGAUGACAUGAUGCCAACACUUACCAAACGGUCUACAUUAGGGGAGGUAGGACAAAUAGGUUCUUGCUAGAUACACUCAGUAAAAAGACACAUUUAACUUCAACUUCACUAGUUUUAUGAGUAAAAAUACACUAGUCACUGUUCCAUUCUCAAUAUUCCUAUUCUGUUUUUCUUCAUUCCUGUAGUUGGGUCUCUAUUGAACACAUGGGUAGGGUUUAAAACUCAACCAAUUGAUUUGUUGAAUGAUUGACACAAUGUUCCCUAUGUCAGCACAGAACAAGCACCUUGUAACAUCUCCUGUAGAUUAGGCAGUGCACUACCCCAGCGAAUCACCUGUGAAUGGAGAUAGCCAUCUAUUGGUGUUUGCAGAUAAAGUCUUAGCUCCUUUGGGCAGAUAAGAUCUGCCAUGCGCUGAGAAUGAAUCUCUUUAUUGCAUGGCCUCACUUUGACUGAUGCAAUCAACCCCCAAUAAAACAAAGAGCCCCACACAGCCGGCCCCCACCAACCCAAUCUCAUUUUGCUAAUGCCACACAGUGUGCAAACAUGCAACGCCCCAUGCCGUUAUGCAAAUUCAAUUGGUCCAAUUAUCAUUUGCCAAAUGAGAGUAGGAGAGAGGUCUGUCAUGGGGCUGGCUUUCAUCCACUGAAGCUGUUGUAGAACCUGAGCCUUAUUUUUCCUUCAUUCAUUUGACAUUUUAAAAACCGAGAAAACACACUCAACAACAUUGAUCCCUCCUCUGCUUUCAUCGACAAAGAGACAUCACUGGAUAGAAUUCUGCAGGAAUAAGACAGAGUGACACUUUAGUACACUAUAGAUAUUUAAAUUCUAAAUAUUAAGAACAUAAAUGUUUAAUCACUUUAAAUAUAUAUAUCCUAUACUUGAAGUUACACAGAGGGGAAAAAACUGCAGCAAAAUAUGUGCAUGAGUGCCAAACACACAGUAAGUCAACAUAGCACUUCAAGUCUAAACAACAUGCACCCUAACCACUCAUGCAUAGCGAGCGACACACACAAUCACACAUCAGCCUACAUGACAUGGCACAUAUACAAACACACCUUGGCCCACUCACACAAAUACAGUCAUCACACAGAUUUACAUAUAUUUGCUCUAACAAAAAAAGCGUCAAAUAAUUUGACCCUUCUAUGACAUAUCUUUUAGAUAUAAAAAGUGCUUUCACUGAUGCUGAAUAAUAUCUGAAUGCUUCUGAAGCCGGUAUGUUUAAAUAAUAUAAAUAUAAGACAACACUUCAGCAUGGCAUAAUGUGUACUACAUUUCAUAUAUUCCUUGUUCUGUGAAAUCAGGAUAAUGUAGUUAGCCUUCAUGACAUCACAAUACUGCACACCUUUGGACUGGCAUGCUGUUGUCCAAAGUCAAGGUUUAUGUUUCUGUAGGGACCAAAGGUCAGUAACAGCCUGCAGUGGCCAUAAAACUGUGGAGGUGUGGGCUGCUCUCUCUCUCUCUCUCUCUCUCUCUCUCUCUCUCUCUCUCUCUCUCUCUCUCUCUCUCUCCCUCUCUGUGCGCAAAUAAUUGUAGGUACACUGAGCCUAUUGGCUUUCUUGUGGUUGUAGUCAUUCUAAAAUCACUGGCGGUAACUAAACCAAAACCAUUUCAUUUGUCAGACUACUGCAGUUCCUCUGUCCCAGUAGACUAAGUGGUAGAUUGCUUCAUCACAGUCUGGCAGUUCACAAAUCCCCUGCAGUAUUAAGUUUGCGACACAAUUACGUACACAUAUCCAAGUAAUGAAGCUAAACGUGCCAUUCAUUAUCCAGUGUGCAGUAUGUAUAAUUCAUCUGGUGUCAAGAAUCAUCCACAAGCCUGCCAGUCUUUAUACAUGGAGGUGUGUGUGUGUGUGUGUGUGUGUGUGUGUGUGUGUGUUUGGGGGGGGGGGGUAUUAAAGAAUGGGUAUUGGGGUAUGGGGUAUUAAAGAAUGCAGUGUACCAAUGACAGUCUCAAUGCUACAUGUGAUGCUACAUAUCAUUAGCAUAAGGCUAUGUCAAAAUAUGAGCUGUCAGGGGAGAGGCCGGGUGUGGUUCAUUUCAUAUUCAAAGCUCUACGAAUACCAAGUGAGGUAAACGUGUAGAUCUACAUCCAAGCCAGUUUAAGGCCAUAAAGGAAUAUUUUCAUGAAAAAAACAUCUAGCUAUUUGUAGUUUUGAGGGACAGAUAUGAGUCUUUAGGGGUUUCACUAAUGCCCGGUGAGAAACUUUAAAAACAACAGUUAAAAAAUGUUGAAGCCCAGAGGAGCAGUGAGAAAGAGAGAAAAAGAGAGAGGGGAGAAGAAGGAGAAAGCGUGUGUCUAUAGAGGUCACUUCUGCCUCCUCAGUUGAGUCACAGGUCAAUACACAGGUCCUGGAGAGGGCAGCCAAGUUCUUCUUCGUGGGUCCACAUGCCCCCAGCAGUGUCAGCCUCUCUGCAGAUGCUCGCUCACUCGCCCGACUUCAAACGGAGCACACUCCGAAUCGGCAUCACCACCAUGCCGCACCCCACGCGGCCUGUCAGCCUCCAUCAGCCUGAAAUGGAAAUGAAGAAGUAAGCUGCUGUUUACCCACUCACUCUUCUCCUCUUUUUUCCUUGGAAUAUAAAUAAACAUGUCUUAAUCCCGCUGCUAAUGAGCGCUGGAGGUGCCCAGGGUGGCAUGCCGGAGGAGACAGGGUAG
Molecule: long non-coding RNA, 3350 nt
Organism: Clupea harengus (Atlantic herring)
Lineage: Eukaryota; Metazoa; Chordata; Actinopteri; Clupeiformes; Clupeidae
Source: Ensembl